GACGAACGCUGGCGGCGUGCUUAACACAUGCAAGUCGAACGAAGAGCGAUGGAAGCUUGCUUCUAUCAAUCUUAGUGGCGCACGGGUGAGUAACGCGUAAUCAACCUGCCCUUCAGAGGGGGACAACAGUUGGAAACGACUGCUAAUACCGCAUACGAUCUAAUCUCGGCAUCGAGGAUAGAUGAAAGGUGGCCUCUACAUGUAAGCUAUCACUGAAGGAGGGGAUUGCGUCUGAUUAGCUAGUUGGAGGGGUAACGGCCCACCAAGGCGAUGAUCAGUAGACGGUCUGAGAGGAUGAACGGCCACAUUGGGACUGAGAAACGGCCCAGACUCCUACGGGAGGCAGCAGUGGGGAAUCUUCCGCAAUGGACGAAAGUCUGACGGAGCAACGCCGCGUGAGUGAGGACGGCCGUCGGGUUGUAAAGCUCUGUUAAUCGGGACGAAAGGCCUUCUUGCGAAUAGUGAGAAGGAUUGACGGUACCGGAAUAGAAAGCCACGGCUAACUACGUG
Molecule: ribosomal RNA, 510 nt
Filed under: uncultured bacterium
Lineage: Bacteria
Description: partial 16S ribosomal RNA
Rfam family: Bacterial small subunit ribosomal RNA
Source: RNAcentral